AAUAUAUUUUCUACUUCAUUGCUGCAAGGUAAGCAAAGAUUCCUAUCUGGUGAUCCAGGUCAAAAGUGCCCAUUUGUGGAGAGUAGGUGGCGGAGUCUAUGAAAGAGAAAGUAAGAAAAGAGCAACAUCUAAGGGAAGGGCACUAUAUGCACUGCACAGAUUCCCAUAUGGGCACCAACUAGGGUUCAAGUCAGGACAGUGGUGGCCCACCCCAACAGUGUAUUCAACCGCACGUGUAGUGGAUUAAAUUCUUCCCAUUUUGUGUUGCAGAAGAACAUGCAUGCCUUUUAUUUGCUUCUUAAAUGGCUCCUCCUCCCAUGUGAGCUAUUUGUAUAAAAGUAUAUUUUUCCCAAGUGGCCCGUGAUUAGAUUAGCCUUGUAUGUUUAAAACAUAAUCUAACACAAAAUUACAUGAUUUAAACAAUUGUAUUUCUUUUGGCCUUUGUGAUUAAUAAAUAAUUGCGUGAUUCUGUGAUUUGAUAAUUACCACCAA
Molecule: long non-coding RNA, 492 nt
Organism: Prunus persica (peach)
Lineage: Eukaryota; Viridiplantae; Streptophyta; Magnoliopsida; Rosales; Rosaceae
Exons: 2
Source: RefSeq, a predicted model, not a curated record